CCAGAGUCUCGGACAUGCUCAGCUUCCUCUGAGCCUCUCUUGUGGUACAAAGGGGAUGGAAUCCAGUUUUAACUCCCCUGCUGGAGACACCAUUCAUCAGGGAUUGUCCAUAAGGUGUAGAAGCAGCGUAGUGGGUUCCUGUUUCCCUUCCCACAGUCUCUGGAGCAGGGCUGAAGAAGGCUCCAGGGACCAAUCUCACCAUCUGACAGAGCUGGAAGACAAAGGAAUUAAUGGAGGAAACAAGAGCAGCUGUAAUUACGCAUAAUUUCUUUCCACACAUGUUUAAAGAGGAAGAACUUUUUUGGACAGAGAGAGCAUGUUGAAUCUCUGCACAGUGCACACUAGUCAGUGACUUCUCUAGUUUCAGCUUUCUCAGUUAUCUGUUGGAAGUUCCUCGUCCAACUUCAGCUGCUAGAGAGAUCCUCACCUUGACAUCUUCCCAGACAUGGUGAAAUUAUAGAUCAUCACUUGGGCCGGAUCCUGUGAUGUGCUGGGCAUCUUAAACUUGUGCAAUGAAAGUCUAUCCUAUUGAAAUCUAUGAAUACUAUCCUGCAGAAAUGCAAGCAGCACGGACUGGAAGACCAAAGAGGACAGCAAUAAAAGCACCCCUCCUUGUACCACGCUCCUCAGUGUAACACCAACACCGGCUAAUGUGUCUACCAGGGUACCAUCCAAUCGAAAGACAGCAGGCUGUUAUACAGGCCCUAGAACAGAUAAGCUCCUCU
Molecule: long non-coding RNA, 725 nt
Organism: Mauremys mutica (yellowpond turtle)
Lineage: Eukaryota; Metazoa; Chordata; Testudines; Geoemydidae
Exons: 5
Source: RefSeq, a predicted model, not a curated record